Molecule: long non-coding RNA, 716 nt
Organism: Apis dorsata (giant honeybee)
Lineage: Eukaryota; Metazoa; Arthropoda; Insecta; Hymenoptera; Apidae
Exons: 2
Source: RefSeq, a predicted model, not a curated record
GAUCUAAUAACAAAAUUGAAGAGAAGUUUAAAAAAAAGUAAGGAAAAUAUCAAGUAGAAAAACACUCUUUCAGUAAGGGAUGCUUCUAAAAUUAAUUUUCACAUAAUGCGCAAGCACGCAUGAAUACACAUAUUUAUUGUCUGUGCCUAUCCUUGGUAUAUAUGUACGUAGAGAAACGUAGGCGUGAAGGUACUUUUUGAACACAACUGCUGACAUAACAGUGGGUAAGAAACCAACAACGUAGUGUUAUCAGCAGUGUCGAAGGCGGUGGUUUUAUAGCUGAUACGUGCCAUUUAUCGGUCUAUGCUACGUUUAGUUAAUUAAACGGCAGUGCAAACACAUACUGCCAGUGCCAAGUAAACAUACAUAUUACAAUCAAACGCGAAACAAUUACAGAAAAUCGGAAAAAAGAAUAAGAAAAGAAAGAGUAGCUCGUUGUGUUCGUUGCGUGUUGAAUGGCGUUAUGAAUAUCCAUAUGUGCUAGAAUUUCUCUUUAAUUUGCAAGAGGUGGCGCCACUGCAACAUAAUCGCGAUAACAGAUCGAAAUUAAUUUGAGAAUUUACGUGCCUCUCCAGUUCUCUAAUACAUCUUAUUGAUUUCGUAUCAUGCGCUUUGAGCAAAUAUAUUUGAUAAAAAAAAAAAUAAUCUUUAUAAGUGAUAUUAUUAUCAAAUAUUUUGUUAUUAUUAGUUGUCGCUAUUUUUUAUAAUAUAAAAAA